This 967-nucleotide non-coding RNA is filed under the name Mirounga leonina (Southern elephant seal). RNAcentral describes it as "partial 12S ribosomal RNA". It matches the Rfam family "Bacterial small subunit ribosomal RNA". Lineage: Eukaryota; Metazoa; Chordata; Mammalia; Carnivora; Phocidae. The record is from RNAcentral.
UAAAGGUUUGGUCCUAGCCCUCCUAUUGAUUCUUAAUAAGAUUAUACAUGCAAGCCUCCGCAUCCCGGUGAAAAUGCCCUCUAAAUCUCACAUAACUGAGUAAAAGGAGCAGGUAUCAAGCACACUAAACAAGUAGCUCAUAACACCUUGCUUAACCACACCCCCACGGGACACAGCAGUAAUAAAAAUUAAGCCAUGAACGAAAGUUCGACUAAGCUAUAUUAAAUACCCAGGGUUGGUAAAUUUCGUGCCAGCCACCGCGGUCAUACGAUUAACCCAAAUCAAUAGGUCCUCGGCGUAAAGCGUGUUAAAAACUUAAUUUACACUAAAGUUAAAAACUAACCAAGCCGUAAAAAGCUACCGUUAGCAUAAAAUAAGCUACGAAAGUGACUUUACUAACUCCUGAUUACACGAUAGCUAAGACCCAUACUGGGAUUAGAUACCCCACUAUGCUUAGCCCUAAACAUAAAUAGUUAACGCAACAAAACUAUUCGCCAGAGAACUACUAGCAACAGCUUAAAACUCAAAGGACUUGGCGGUGCUUCACACCCCUCUAGAGGAGCCUGUUCUAUAAUCGAUAAACCCCGAUAAACCUCACCACUCCUUGCUAAUUCAGUCUAUAUACCGCCAUCUUCAGCAAACCCUUAAAAGGAAUAGAAGUAAGCACAAUAAUUACCACAUAAAAAAGUUAGGUCAAGGUGUAACCUAUGGAGUGGGAAGAAAUGGGCUACAUUUUCUAAACAAGAACAAUAACACACGAAAGUUUUUAUGAAACUAACAAACUAAAGGUGGAUUUAGCAGUAAAUUAAGAAUAGAGAGCUUAAUUGAACCGGGCCAUGAAGCACGCACACACCGCCCGUCACCCUCCUCAAAUAUAUUCUCCAAACUAAAUAAAACAGACACAAAACACAUUAGAGGAGACAAGUCGUAACAAGGUAAGCAUACUGGAAAGUGUGCUUGGAUAAAC